This 492-nucleotide ribosomal RNA is filed under the name uncultured bacterium. RNAcentral's name for it is "bacterial SSU rRNA". It matches the Rfam family "Bacterial small subunit ribosomal RNA", at positions 25 to 518 of the family's 1533-position model. The record is from RNAcentral.
CAGGACGAACGCUGGCGGCAUGCCUAACACAUGCAAGUCGAACGGACAUAACCAAGUUAUAGCGAUAUAAUGCGGGUAUGUAGUGGCGAACGGGUGAGUAACACGUGAGCAACCUGCCCUGUACAACGGGAUAACAGUUGGAAACGACUGCUAAUACGGUAUAAGACCACACUGCGGCAUCGCAGAGGGGUAAAAGUGAAUUAGCGGUACAGGAUGGGCUCGCGUCCAAUUAGCUAGUUGGUGAGGUAACGGCUCACAAAGGCGACGAUUGGUAGCCGACCUGAGAGGGUGAUCGGCCACACUGGAACUGAGACACGGUCCAGACUCCUACGGGAGGCAGCAGUGGGGAAUAUUGGGCAAUGGAAGGAAACUCUUACCCAGCAAUGCCGCGUGAAGGAAGAAGGUCUUCGGAUUGUAAACUUCUUUUAUUGGGGACGAAUAAAUGACGGUACCCGAUGAAUAAGCCCCGGCUAACUAUGUGCCAGCAGCCGC